This is a long non-coding RNA of Haplochromis burtoni (Burton's mouthbrooder), 5352 nucleotides long. RefSeq lists it as uncharacterized. The transcript has 3 exons. The record is from RefSeq and is a predicted model, not a curated record. Lineage: Eukaryota; Metazoa; Chordata; Actinopteri; Cichliformes; Cichlidae.
CAGAAGACUUUUCUGGGUUUGUUGCCCAAGAGUUUCAGAGCCGGCGUUAAAAAUGGAAAAUGACACGGGGCAGCUGACAUUUACUCAAAACUGCAGACCUUUGCCACAGCAUGAUCUCUGCCUGCCAUCACACUUGAUUAGUCACACGAUCAACAAGCACUUGGAGUGAGAAUGACAGAGACGAGCGGACAGAAAAUGAUCAACGCAGGCAAAACAAAGAAAAUCCUGGGAGGAUGUUGCAGCUAAAUGCAGCAGAAGACACACGGCAAGUGUUCAGAGCAUACCUCCACCCCUCCAAGCUCUGACUGACCUCAUCUGUCAAUCCAUCACCACUGCAAUCAAGAAUGCACUUGGAGAAAAUCUCUGAUGUAAUCCUGCCCCCAUCUGUCACUCCUACUGCACACCUCACCACUGUCUUGCUGUCGUAAAAUACAUGUCCUGCACCACCUUCAGGCUUCAACAACUCUUCCCUGUAUCUUCAUGGUGUGGAUCAUCAGCUUUAUCACUCAGCACCUACUACAGUUCUUCACUUCACUCUUGUUCUAGAAGCUACCAUUUCCGUUGUACACAAAACAGGUUGCAAAUACAAAUUUCCACCACAUCUGAAAUCUGCACAAAACCAGCUCAGAUUUAUACACAUGCAGUCCACUGGGAAAAUCACCAAUUCCAACAGUUCCACUGAAUUUGACUAACUGUAAUCCUUUCAAUGCCAUAAAUGCAGAUGUGACCCAGCACACGUUCCGUGCAGGCAGUUUCACAAAAACCGUAUCUGUAGGAAGCAGAAACAUCCCGUGGAGAACAAAAGAGCUCCUUGGUGGAGGUAAUAAUUAAUUUUGACAGGUGAGUCACUAUAAAAUUACAGGGAAUCAAGAAAAACAUGUUUUUAUACAUCAGUCGAACCAUUCACCCGACACAAAAUUUCAAACGAUGGCGUAAUUGCAUCCCCAAUUCUUAAUUGAAUAAGUGCACCAAGUUUACGGGCUAGUGGUGAUAUUUUGAUUUAUUUUGAUUAAAUUCCUGUCUUUCUGAUUUCACCAUCUUUUCAUUUAAGUCUGUUCAUUUCAUGAAUUUCCAAGUGACAACCACAGUCAUCGUAGAACACUUUACAUUUUAGGCCUUCAAGAUUAUUAUAUAUAUUAUUAUAUAAGAUUCAAGAUUAUAUAAUAAUUGUCACCAGCACUGUUUCAGGCUCAGGACGGGCAGCUAUCUGUCUCACCCAAUGGGAGUUCAUUUCAUUUGAAGGUUUACUUAAUCAGUGAGAUUAAGAGGAGACACAAAUCAAUGCGAGGGUGUGACACAUCAAUUUGUAUUAGAAAGUCAUGGUUUUUGGUAGUCUUUGAUUUUUAAAAAAAAAUGAAGGUAGCUUGAUCAGGAUUAUGUAUAAACUGUGUGCGUGUGUCUUUUAUACUAUAAUCAGGUUUUUACAGUUGUGUUUUCUACAAGUCACAAACACACUCUUUGUCUUAGCACACAAGCCCGCUCUGUGCCCGUGAAUCUCAAACAUCUCCUCCAUCUCACAUAAACUUACUUUCAGAGCUUUCGGAUGCUGCGCCCUCCCUUGAUGCACAGCAACACCCGGCUCCCCCUUUUUUUUAUGACUGAAGGAAUGACAGAUGUGCAAAUCUUUUCCUCUCUCAUCUGUCUUCGGCACAUCACGACUGAACGAGGAGUUGCCAGUGUUGACGUCGGUCAGCGAAGCUCCGUGAAUACUAGAGACACGUUCGCAGCCUUUUAUCAUGUGUUGUUGAAACAGUAAUGUCAGCAGAAACCGUGCCCCAACAUCUAAGAGAAUAUUUGUACUUCAUCUACAUGACUUGCCACAUUUCAGCAUUUGAGACGGAGGGUUGCAUCACUUAACUUCGUCAAAACAGCUCAAAGCCAGGCAUCUUUUGAGUGGCAUAAAGAUGCUGCUGCAAAGCACAGCAGUGACACAAGCUGUGAUAUAAGAUGAGAUGCCUGCUUGAUGCUCAUGAGCUGAGGCUUAGGGAAAGUCUAACUCCUUUACUGGUCCUGGCCAAGUUUUAGAAAAGGCUAAGACUACACCUCUGGCUUCCCUCACCUUUAGGAGGGCGUCAGGCGUGUCUUCAGUUCAUCAUAUCGCACUCCAACACGUUCGUGAGCAUCUCCCAGUGGAGAUCCUUUCUAGGACACACACUCCGUCAGAGAUCAAAAAGAUUGCAAUCAUCGGUCCUGCAGCACGCACAGAGAACACUUUGGUUACAUCUUCUCCCUGGUGAUGAACAAGGAGCAAAAAAACAAGCGGGGCAUUAUUCCAAUUUUAGACCUUCACAUGUUUUUCACAGAACAAGAACCUUUUAUUUCUGUAGUUUAUUUCAUUUGAAAUGCAUUCAUUCAGUGACCAAGUGUUUUUUUGUUUUGUUUUUUGCACUUGUAUUCUUUUGAGAAGCAUAAGACCGUGUAUUCAAGGAUAGGAGAUGCUCAAACAACCAUUUGCCGAAAUGCACAAAGAAUAUGGCCCAUUUAAUUAGAAUUUCUUUCAGUUAUGUUAUUUUUCAUUUAUUUAUGUGAGCAGUUUUAAGUUAUUCAUAUUUCAGCAGUGGAAACGGAAGGUUGAAAGAAUAAAGCCUGCCUCAUUUUAAAAUGCCUGCUAUGCUCGCAAAUGCAAUGCUAUCAGUUAACUAUAGCAGCAUUAACUACUUGGUGUAAUUUUACUCAUUUACGGCUGCACCAGUGAAUGAUUUCAGUGAACGAAGCAAUGGCGAGGAGAGAAACGGAGAGACAAAAACAGAAAUUUAUCACCCAAAUCUGCUGUUCAAACUGUUUUAGCAUCUUUCAGAUGAUUUCUUUCAUUGUUUUGACUUACUCUCAUUUUUUCUUGGUUCACCGUCUCUGCUCACAGCAGUGUUAUUUCCAAGUGUAGCAGGCUAAUGUUUUCAGCCAAAAAGCUGCAAAUACAGAUUGUACGCUAUCUGCACAGCACGAAAACAGCAGACAGAUAAAAUGAGCAGACCUCAGGAGCCAAAAAUAAGGUGGGAAUAUUGGAUAUCUAUUCACAGGUAACAGCAGAUUCUUCAUAACUGUAUUUUCCCUCUUUACAAUCUGUUUUUUGGCCCUAAAGUGAGGGAAAAGUUAAUCUAGGUAUAAAUAUUGUUUCCCCUCUGUUUGGGUAAGAAGAUGAAAAAAUCACAAUUUAUUGUAAAUCAAAAGUUCAGUGACAUGUAGAAUAAUGGUCGCAUAGUGUAAUUAAUUCAUCUAUUUUAGCUAUUGUAUAACACAUCAUAAAUUCUCCCUGAUGAAUAAUGACAAGCCUUCUAUUAGAAAAGCUUAAUUAAUAAGUUUCUGAUUGAUGGAAACGAUCUGUACUCCUAUAAAUCACGAGAAAAAAUGAAACACUGUAAAUUGCACAUUUGACCUUUGAGGAACAGUUAAGUAUUCGUGUUGGUUACAGAUGCUGCACUCGUGCUUCUGCUUAUAUUACAGCCCUGUCGCAGUAUCUUCAUAUCAAAACAGGUUUCUGAAUUAAUAAAAAUAGCUUUAGAGCACAAACAGAGUGGAGCACACGCGGUAAAGUUUAAUAUGGAAGCUUGUUAUCUGUUGUUGUUUACACUCAAAGGCUGAUUCUGAAGAGUUAACUUACAGAGGAUCAGUCUGGCUUGUUAUCUCCCCUCAGUUUUCUGUGAGGAGAAUCCAAAAAGGCCACGUGUGAUAGAGGAUCGGCAACCGCGGGAAACGGCAGGAAAGAUUUAUUGCAGUUUUGUUUUUGCUAGAUGCGUAGAUCACUUUAAUUUGUGUAAGUGUGUGGUCAAACCCCGACAAGCUCUAAGUAUAGGCUUCAGUUCAGGGAAGCGAGUUAAUUUUUAAAUCGGUCCGACCCAGUCGAACGGUCCUGCAAACACUAUUGAUUGCAUGCAAAACGUGUCUUGUUUAUCAGUUGUCAGAAAGUUGUGGCUGAAAAUAAAAAAAGAAAAAGACAUCGUAUACUGAUUUAGGUUAGAGCUGAUCUAUCGAUUUCUCUCCCUUCUUCUGUCAGUGAGUGAUAUGGCUGCAUUUUGAAGAUCUUUGCAAUUGAUCUAUUCCUCCUUCAGAAAGCAAACACCUGAAUUACUUAUUCAUUACUCAAGUGUUUGACUGACACACAGUUUGAAGUACUGACUAAUUCACUUUGCCAAAAAUCUAUUGGGCACAAACUGACAUUUUCAGGAUGAGUGGUCCGUGAGUGAGUCUUUUGAAUUGAAUAGAAUGAAUGUUCGAGGCUGAAUGUUUUUCCUGCCUGUUAAUUAGUUCUUAUAACAGGAAUGUGGGAAAGGAAGUGUGUCCUCUAUCACACCGAGAGUUAAUCCUUCUGAAUAUUAGGAGGGAGGUUCCUCGACAGGUCCCUCAUGGGCUCACAUGAAUACCAAAGAUGGACUUUUUUGAAGCUAAGAAGAAUGUCUAACCUAUCUAAUUUCCUGUUUUUUGUGAUAGCGGGUUUCUCCAUUGAAAAUAAUUCGUGUUAUAGAGCCAGGCUCCCCCUUCCCUGUAUCACUCAGACACACACAAAAACACCGAUACAAAGGAAAGCAAGAAACGCCAGAGUGAUGCAAAAGUAAUCAAUUCAUAAGAGAGAGGGUCUCUGCUCACUUAUCCCAACUCUGAGGUACACAAUUGGUAAACCACCCAAUGCGUUGUUCUUUACCCUUGACUUAAAACAGACUGUGUCCUGAAGACAAACAAGGCUGGCUACUGGCACAGAAUGAAAGGUAUCGUUUAAUCUCGGCCUCAAAUACAAUCUAAGUGGGUUAAUUAAGGCAAAACACUGCUCCUUCCACCACAGGGAAGAUGCUGUGUUGAUACAGCUCAACGAGGGCACAGUCUGAGGUGCAUGGUUAUUGGGGUGAUUUGCAUAGAUCUUUCCAAAUUCAACAUUUAAUCUUAAACAUAUUAAAUUGCGCAUUAUAUGCACACAUGUCACGUCACUUGUCUGACUGUCUUUAAGGCUCAUGGGCACCACAGUAUAAAUAGGAGGCAACUGACUCGCAACUGGGAAAAUUUGGUGGUUGAACAGUGAUUGCAUGUUUUCACAUUCAUAUGAUUGCAACUGUUCACCUAGAGGUUGAGCAACACCCUGAAAGGCAACCACUUAUGCUCACAAGGGGACUGCACAGCUUACCUGGGGCAGGUACCAAUCAUGGUCUGAUGUGGUAGCUGCACAUCUUUUUGCAGUGGGGAUUCAACUCAACUAAUUACUAACCUGUUUGCAUUCUGGUUAUAUUCCUAUAUAAAAGCAGGGUUGCUGAGCAUCUAUGAGAUUUUGUUGUUGCAUCUCUAUUAUAAAGGAAUUACUAUGAAGUUCUGGCUGCACUCACAAUCUAUGUAGUUUAUAUGAAUUUCUAUGUAUGUCACUGGCAAUAC